RNAcentral lists this ribosomal RNA (253 nucleotides) under uncultured bacterium. RNAcentral's name for it is "partial 16S ribosomal RNA". It matches the Rfam family "Bacterial small subunit ribosomal RNA", at positions 524 to 776 of the family's 1533-position model. The record is from RNAcentral.
UACGUAGGGUGCGAGCGUUAAUCGGAAUUACUGGGCGUAAAGUGUGCGCAGGCGGCCGCGCAAGUCGAGUGUGAAAGCCCCGAGCUUAGCUUGGGAAUUGCGCUCGAAACUACGUGGCUGGAGUGUGGCAGAGGAAGGUGGAAUUCCACGUGUAGCGGUGAAAUGCGUAGAGAUGUGGGGGAACACCAAUGGCGAAGGCAGCCUUCUGGGCCAACACUGACGCUCAUGCACGAAAGCGUGGGGAGCAAACAGG